ACGAACGCUGGCGGCAGGCUUAACACAUGCAAGUCGAACGCCCCGCAAGGGGAGUGGCAGACGGGUGAGUAACACGUGGGAACGUGCCCGAAGGUACGGAAUAUUCUCGGGAAACUGAGAGCAAUACCGUAUGUGACCGUAAGGUGAAAGAUUUAUCGCCUUUGGAGGGGCCCGCGUCGGAUUAGGUAGUUGGUGAGGUAACGGCUCACCAAGCCUGCGAUCCGUAGCUGGUCUGAGAGGAUGACCAGCCACACUGGGACUGAGACACGGCCCAGACUCCUACGGGAGGUAGUAGUGGGGAGUAUUGGACAAUGGGGGCAACCCUGAUCCAGCAAUGCCGCGUGGGUGAUGAAGGCCUUCGGGUUGUAAAGCCCUUUCGGCGGGGACGAUGAUGACGGUACCCGCAGAAGAAGCCCCGGCUAACUUCGU
This 429-nucleotide ribosomal RNA is filed under the name uncultured bacterium. Its description in RNAcentral is "bacterial SSU rRNA". It matches the Rfam family "Bacterial small subunit ribosomal RNA", at positions 29 to 506 of the family's 1533-position model. The record is from RNAcentral.